Molecule: unclassified non-coding RNA, 386 nt
Filed under: Hevea brasiliensis (rubber tree)
Lineage: Eukaryota; Viridiplantae; Streptophyta; Magnoliopsida; Malpighiales; Euphorbiaceae
Source: RNAcentral
UUAUCAUAAUAAAAAGGGGAACUAGUUGGUGAUAAAUUUUAUAUUUAAACGCUAACAGAUUCCAGAGUAUGUGCUAGAAUUCACUCUUUGGACGGAGUGGGUUAAAUUUUACCAACAAAAGAGAGCAAUAAACAAAUAAUCAGUGUAAAAUAACCAAAAAGUCAUGAGUGAUAAAUAAUAUUCCAACAGACGGAUAAAUUAAACAAUAGACUAUGAGGUACGAAAAACCGUGAGCAUUUAGAUCUACACCAAUUAAAUCCAGGCAAAAAAACAGAAACACCCAUGAAAGCCUCGGCUCAAAACGGGAACUUUGUACCCAGAAAAUUGAACCUACCGAAACCCAUAAAAGAUAAAGGAGGAAAAGAACUGUUAAGCACAAAAAAAGG